This 347-nucleotide unclassified non-coding RNA is filed under the name uncultured fungus. RNAcentral describes it as "sequence contains ITS2". Lineage: Eukaryota; Fungi. RNAcentral also lists the same sequence under 1 other name. The record is from RNAcentral.
AACGCAUAUUGCGCUCUUUGGUAUUCCGAAGAGCAUGCUUGUUUGAGUAUCAGUAAACACCUCAAAGCCUUUUUUCUUUUUUGAAGAAAGGCUUUGGACUUGAGCAAUCCCAACACCAAUCUUUUAAAGAGAGGGGGCGGGUUGCUUGAAAUGCAGGUGCAGCUGGACAUUCUCCUGAGCUAAAAGCAUAUUCAUUUAGUCCCGUCAAACGGAUUAUUACUUUUGCUGCAGCUAAUAUAAAGGGAGUUUGACCAUUUUGGCUGACUGAUGCAGGAUUUUCACAAGAGUCUUCAAAACCUCUUGUUAAACUCGAUCUCAAAUCAAGUAAGACUACCCGCUGAACUUAA